Molecule: ribosomal RNA, 451 nt
Filed under: uncultured bacterium
Lineage: Bacteria
Description: bacterial SSU rRNA
Rfam family: Bacterial small subunit ribosomal RNA
Source: RNAcentral
GCUAAGAAUAUUCCGCAAUGGACGAAAGUCUGACGGAGCGACGCCGCGUGGAUGAUGAAGGCCGGAAGGUUGUAAAAUCCUUUUAUGACUGAGGAAUAAGUGAAGUGAGGGAAACGCUUCAUGGUGACUGUAGGUCAUGAAUAAGCAACGGCUAAUUACGUGCCAGCAGCCGCGGUAACACGUAAGUUGCGAGCGUUGUUCGGAAUUAUUGGGCGUAAAGGGUAUGUAGGCGGUUCUGCAAGUCUGGUGUGAAAUGCCGGGGCUCAACCCCGGAACUGCGUUGGAAACUGCAGGACUUGAAUCGCUGAGGGGCAGCCAGAAUUCCAGGUGUAGGGGUGAAAUCUGUAGAUAUCUGGAAGAAUACCAAUGGCGAAGGCAGGCUGCCAGCAGAUGAUUGACGCUGAGGUACGAAGGUGCGGGGAGCAAACAGGAUUAGAUACCCCAGUAGUCC